This 1110-nucleotide long non-coding RNA is filed under the name Phasianus colchicus (ring-necked pheasant). RNAcentral describes it as "lncRNA (ENSPCLG00000008540.1)". Lineage: Eukaryota; Metazoa; Chordata; Aves; Galliformes; Phasianidae. The record is from RNAcentral.
GGAGUAUUUCAUCCGUACACUGUCAUUAAUACCAAAACCUACAUGACAAGAUUAAUCUCACAAUAAAAGGAUCCCAACCCCUUGUGUUUUCCAUCAUGCCAUGUCUCUUGUUUUAAAGGUGGAAAAACUGAAGUAGAAACGUGACUCUAGUCCAAAGAGCUGGUGGAAGUCAAAGCCAGGAUUAACAUUCUCUUACCACUGCUGUCCUUAACUGGAGCAUCUGGUAGUCUUUCAGAGUAACUGUUUUUUGUGAAGCUGGCAGGCAGUUAAAAUGAAAGGAUCUGAGUGAAGAAGGAACAGUGGAGAAAGGACAGGUAAUACAGAUGUGCAUUCCCUUUUUGUUAACAAAUGGAAACACGGGGGAUUUAUUUAUGGUGUAGUGUAGCCCAGCUGUAUUCUGCCUCCUUGCUCAGUUGCUGCUGUCUCAUUUUCCCUCAUGGUUUCCUUACUAAGUUGGUGCAGUGCUUUGUGCAUUUCCUUCUCACUUAUAAAAAAGCAGCAUUUUUUUCCCACAAGAUACAGCAGAACUGAGCAGGACACACCUGCUUACAACUUCAGUGAAGCCUCAGUCCUUCGGAGUCACCUGAACCUGUGCUAACAGCAAGAACAAAGCUGGCUUUCUUCAGCCAGCAGAUGGCUACACGGAAAGCAGUUUUGCAGCGAGCAGAGGCAGGCAGCGUUUUCCCUGGGCUGGGACUUCAGGUUAGGAGGAGAUAUUUCAAUCAAACAAAAUUAAUCAUCCUACUGCUGCAGCACAUGAGCAAACGUGGUGUGUACAAGGUAAGAACGGAGCUGUUUUUACACCAAGAAGUAGCCUGGCUUACUUUGAUGAUCCCCAGGAAUCAACCAAGGAGCAUCCAAGCCUUUUCUAUGGGAGGAAAAUACUUGCUGAGAGAGAUGACCUCCUCAAGACUUUCCCUAAUAUCAUCAGUUCCCAUUCCCUCUGCGUAUUUUGUUUCCUUUAGUCCUGCCCUCACUGCUUUCCUUUUCCCUCCCCAAAAAAACCCAGUGCUUAUGGAAACUGGCCAAAACCAAUUGGCUAGAGCAAGAAUUUCAUCCUGGAAGCUUCCUUGCAGGAGGCAAAGAAACGUCCAUGCUUGUGCUGAAUGA